UACGAAGGGGGCUAGCGUUGCUCGGAAUCACUGGGCGUAAAGGGUGCGUAGGCGGGUCUUUAAGUCAGAGGGGAAAUCCUGGAGCUCAACUCCAGAACUGCCUUUGAUACUGAGGAUCUUGAGUACGGGAGAGGUGAGUGGAACUGCGAGUGUAGAGGUGAAAUUCGUAGAUAUUCGCAAGAACACCAGUGGCGAAGGCGGCUCACUGGCCCGGUACUGACGCUGAGGUGCGAAAGCGUGGGGAGCAAACAGG
Molecule: ribosomal RNA, 253 nt
Filed under: uncultured bacterium
Lineage: Bacteria
Description: partial 16S ribosomal RNA
Rfam family: Bacterial small subunit ribosomal RNA
Source: RNAcentral